Microtus oregoni (creeping vole) is the source of this 498-nucleotide RNA transcript. It is a transcript of the gene named cytochrome b-c1 complex subunit 10, with no coding region annotated. The transcript has 4 exons. NCBI's taxonomy places the organism in Eukaryota, Metazoa, Chordata, Mammalia, Rodentia, Cricetidae. The record is from RefSeq and is a predicted model, not a curated record.
ACCGACUUGCACCGCCGCCGGAAGAGCUAGGUCCGCACAUGCGCAGCGCUCCAGGACAGCUGGAACAGGGUGACCCUGAGUGCUUAGACCCUGCAGCGAUGCUGAGCAAGUUUCUGGGCCCACGCUAUCGGGAACUGGCCAAGAACUGGAUCCCCACUGCCAGCAUGUGGGGUGCCAUGGGUGCUGUGGGGCUGGUGUGGGCCACAGACUGGCGUUUGAUCCUGGACUGGGUACCUUACAUCAACGGCAAGUUUAAGAAGGAUGAUUAGGAAAACCCCGUCAUACUCAGGAUCUCCCUGGGUUUGGAGCCUGUCCUGGCACCUGCUCUGACUACUUCAUUUUUUGCAAGGCUCACACCUGCUGUCUUAGGAACAGUUCAGUCUCGUGAAGGAUGCUGAGGAAGCUGGACAUGGCCAAGUCCCGCAGCUCCCGGGGAGCCUCUGCGCAGAUGGACACUUGGGCUGCCUUGAUGGGUGUACAUUAAACCUUGUUCUCACA